RNAcentral lists this long non-coding RNA (449 nucleotides) under Salmo salar (Atlantic salmon). RNAcentral describes it as "lncRNA (ENSSSAG00000102862.1)". Lineage: Eukaryota; Metazoa; Chordata; Actinopteri; Salmoniformes; Salmonidae. The record is from RNAcentral.
AUCGAACGUUCGCAGAGCCUGUUUUGACUGGAGUGAUGCUUAGAAUUCCAUAAAAAAAUGUAUCCCUUUUUAUUUUACCACUACAAUCUGUUCGUCGGACGAAACUGGAAGAAAAAAAACUUGUGUAGAAAGUAAACAUCCGCACCUCGAUUGUGUCAACUGUGCUUAUGUCUGCGUAAUGAAAAAUUAGGGAAAAAAUAAAAAAACUUCAGACUAUUUCUGAUCUAGCGAGCUCGCUGCCCAGACUUACAUGAUUACAAAGAGGAGAUUCUCCUGAUUAAAAUGGUUUGCUUCCGUCCCUCUCCUCGCCCCAGGGACCCUCUGCACACAUUGACAACAGCCACCCUCGAAGCAGUAUUACCCAUCGCUCCACGAAAGCCACGGCUCUACUUCAAGGGGACAACUUCCCUCUUAGACUGCCUGCCAAUCACCAAGAAACAACAGAAUAU